This 64-nucleotide ribosomal RNA is filed under the name Fusarium oxysporum. RNAcentral's name for it is "partial 18S ribosomal RNA". The stretch from base 1 to 54 matches the Rfam family "Eukaryotic small subunit ribosomal RNA", at positions 1778 to 1831 of the family's 1831-position model. The record is from RNAcentral. Lineage: Eukaryota; Fungi; Ascomycota; Sordariomycetes; Hypocreales; Nectriaceae.
GAAGUAAAAAGUCGUAACAAGGUCUCCGUUGGUGAACCAGCGGAGGGAUCAUUACCGAGUUUAC